UAAUAUAGAACCCAUUGUAUAUGUAGUAAUGAUUGAAGCAGAAUUAAGAGCUAGGUCUUUGGAACUGUGAGAACUAACAAGAGGGGUCUCAAGGGUAUUAGAUACGUGUAAAGUUAUGCCCCUAAUCUUCAUGUCAGACAUCGCAACAGAAUUUGGUUACACGCGUUGGAGUUUAGAUUAACUUUUGCCAAACAAAGUUAAUUUUAGGGAGCUGAUUUUCCCACUUCCCUUUUCUCUACUUACACUCCCUUUUAUUUUUUAAUAUUUUUUAAUUAAUUAUAUUUUUUUUGUUCUUUUUAUUUCCUAUUCUACCCUCACCACCUAAACCCUUAUUGAUAAAAAUACUCAAAACCCCCCACGCCUCCACCCCUCAUAUUCUUCUGCCCCACCGCACCACCGCCCAGCCCCCUUCCUAAUCUCCACCCAUGGGAGGACCCACAAAGGCUAAAUCUGGCCUCCCUCAUCCCCGUGCCCCCAGCUUCAUCAUCACUGCAAACAAACCACAAGAAUCGCAGUGACCACCCAUGCCUCAACCUGCACAACCAAAUCGUAUCACAGCGUUAACACUCACAAAAUCGAAUUCGCCCCCUCUUUCCCAGCACCUCAUUAAGUCGAACUCGCCCCUAUUUCAAAAAUCUAAUUCUCUACUCUCUACGCAAAUUUAAAAACAAAAAAUUGAAAAG
RNAcentral lists this long non-coding RNA (683 nucleotides) under Prunus persica (peach). RNAcentral's name for it is "long non-coding RNA (PPER_LNC003680)". The record is from RNAcentral. Lineage: Eukaryota; Viridiplantae; Streptophyta; Magnoliopsida; Rosales; Rosaceae.